GCAGCCGUAGCUCAGCUGGAUAGAGCAACGGAUUUCUAAUCCGUAGGUCACAGGUUCAAGUCCUGUCGGCUGUGCCA
This 77-nucleotide transfer RNA is filed under the name Halobacteriovoraceae bacterium. RNAcentral's name for it is "tRNA-Arg". It matches the Rfam family "tRNA". Rfam says of the family: Transfer RNA (tRNA) molecules are approximately 80 nucleotides in length. Their secondary structure includes four short double-helical elements and three loops (D, anti-codon, and T loops). Further hydrogen bonds mediate the characteristic L-shaped molecular structure. tRNAs have two regions of fundamental functional importance: the anti-codon, which is responsible for specific mRNA codon recognition, and the 3' end, to which the tRNAs corresponding amino acid is attached (by aminoacyl-tRNA synthetases). tRNAs cope with the degeneracy of the genetic code in two manners: having more than one tRNA (with a specific anti-codon) for a particular amino acid; and 'wobble' base-pairing, i.e. permitting non-standard base-pairing at the 3rd anti-codon position. Lineage: Bacteria; Pseudomonadati; Bdellovibrionota; Bacteriovoracia; Bacteriovoracales; Halobacteriovoraceae. The record is from RNAcentral.